CCUGGUUGAUCCUGCCAAUAUUCAUAUGCUUGUCUCAAAGAUUAAGCCAUGCAUGUGUAAGUAUGAACAAAGUCAGACUGUGAAACUGCGAAUGGCUGAUUAAAUCAGCUAUAGUUUAUUUGAUGGUAUAUACUACUCGGAUAACUGUAGUAAUUCUAGAGCUAAUACGUGAAACAAACCCCGAAUUAUGAAAGGGAUACAUUUAUUAGAUAAGAGGUCGAGGGGGAAUCUGCCCGUUUCUACGAUGAUUCAUGAUAACUCAACGGAUCGCAUGGCCAUCGUGCCGGCUACGCAUCAUUAAAAUUUCCAUCCUAUCAAGUUUCGAUAGUAGGAUAGUGGCCUACUAGGUGGUGACGGGUGAUGGGUGACGGAGAAUUAGGCUUCAAUUUCGGAGAGGAAGCCUGAGAAAUGGCUACAACAUCCAAGGAAGGCAGCAGGCGCGCAAAUUACCCAAUCCUGACAUGGGGAGGUGGUGACAAUAAAUAACAAUACCGAGCUCAAUGAGUCUGGUAAUUGGAAUGAGUACAAUCUAAAUCUCUUAAUGAGGAUCCAUUGGAGGGAGAGUCUGGUGCCAGCGGCUGCGGUAACUCCAGCACCAAUAAUGUAUAUUUAAGUUGUUUCAGUUAAAAAGCUCAAAGUUGGACUUUGGGAUUGGCCGGCCAGUGCGCCUAUGGUGUGUAUCUGUCAUCUCAUCCCUUCUGUUGGCGAUGCGCUCCUGGCCUUAACUGGUUGGGUCGUGCCUUCGAUGCUGUUACUUUGAAAAAAUUAGAGUGCUUAAAGAAAGACUACGCUCUAUAUACAUUAGCAUGGGAUAACAUUAUAGGAUUUUGGUACUAUUACGUUGGCCUUCGGGAUCGGAGUAAUGAUUAACAGGGACAGUCGGGGACAUUCGUAUAUCAUAGUCAGAGGUGAAAUUAUUGGAUAUACGAAAUACGAACAACUGCGAAAGCAUUUUCCAAGGAUGUUUUCAUUAAUCAAUAACGAAAGUUGGGGGCUCGAAGGCGGUCAGAUACCAUCCUAGUCUCAACCAUAAAUGAUGCCGACCAAGGAUCGGUGGACGUUGCUUUUAGGACUCCGCCAGUACCUUAUGAGAAAUCAAAGUUUUUAGGUUUCUGGGGGAGUAUGGUUGCAAGGGUAAAACUAAAAGGAAUUGAUGGAAGGGCAUCACCAGGAGUGGAGCCUGUGGCUUGAUUUGACUCAACACGGGGAAACUUACCGGGUCCAGACAUAGUAAGGAUUGACAGACUUAGAGCUCUUUCUUGAUUCUAUGGGUGGUGGUGCAUGGUCGUUCUUAGUUGGUGGAGCGAUUUGUCUGGUUAAUUCCGUUAAUGAAUGAGACCUCAGCCUGCUAACUAGCUAUGCGGAGGUAUCCCUUCGCGGCCAGCUUCUUAGAGGGACUACGACCUUUUAGGCUGCAGAAGUUUAAGGCAAUAACAUGUCUGUGAUGCCCUUAGAUGUUCUGGGCCGCAUGCGCGCUACACUGAUGUAUUCAAUGAGUUUAUAGCCUUGGCCGACAGGCCCGGGUAAUCUUUGAAAUUUCAUCGUGAUGGGGAUAGAUUAUUGCAGUUGUUGGUCUUUAACGAGGAAUUCCUAGUAAGCGUAAGUGAUCAGCUCGCGUUGACUAUGUCCCUGCCCUUUGUACACACCGCCCAUCGCUCCUACCGAUUGAAUGAUCCAGUGAAAUAUUUAGAUUGCGGCAGCGUGGGCGGUUCACUACCCGUGACGUUGUGAAAAGUCUAUUGAACCUUAUCAUUUAAAGGAAGUAGAAUUCAUAAUAAGGUUUGCAUAGGUGAACCUGCGGAAG
RNAcentral lists this ribosomal RNA (1804 nucleotides) under Capsicum chinense (habanero). Its description in RNAcentral is "SSU rRNA". It matches the Rfam family "Eukaryotic small subunit ribosomal RNA". The record is from RNAcentral. Lineage: Eukaryota; Viridiplantae; Streptophyta; Magnoliopsida; Solanales; Solanaceae.